AGAUCGAACUGUAGAGUUUGAUCCUGGCUCAGAUUGAACGCUGGCGGCAUGCCUUACACAUGCAAGUCGAACGGUAACAGGUCUUCGGACGCUGACGAGUGGCGAACGGGUGAGUAAUACAUCGGAACGUGCCCAGUCGUGGGGGAUAACUACUCGAAAGAGUAGCUAAUACCGCAUACGAUCUGAGGAUGAAAGCGGGGGACCUUCGGGCCUCGCGCGAUUGGAGCGGCCGAUGGCAGAUUAGGUAGUUGGUGGGAUAAAAGCUUACCAAGCCGACGAUCUGUAGCUGGUCUGAGAGGACGACCAGCCACACUGGGACUGAGACACGGCCCAGACUCCUACGGGAGG
This 348-nucleotide ribosomal RNA is filed under the name Klebsiella oxytoca. RNAcentral describes it as "bacterial SSU rRNA". It matches the Rfam family "Bacterial small subunit ribosomal RNA", at positions 1 to 348 of the family's 1533-position model. The record is from RNAcentral. Lineage: Bacteria; Pseudomonadati; Pseudomonadota; Gammaproteobacteria; Enterobacterales; Enterobacteriaceae.